Molecule: transfer RNA, 73 nt
Filed under: Penicilliopsis zonata CBS 506.65
Lineage: Eukaryota; Fungi; Ascomycota; Eurotiomycetes; Eurotiales; Aspergillaceae
Rfam family: tRNA
About the family: Transfer RNA (tRNA) molecules are approximately 80 nucleotides in length. Their secondary structure includes four short double-helical elements and three loops (D, anti-codon, and T loops).
Source: Rfam by way of RNAcentral
AGCUUGUUAGCUCAAUUGGUUGAGCAGUCGUUUUACACACGAAAGGUUAAGGGUUCGAGUCCCUUACAGGCUA